Molecule: long non-coding RNA, 1047 nt
Filed under: Bos indicus x Bos taurus (hybrid cattle)
Lineage: Eukaryota; Metazoa; Chordata; Mammalia; Artiodactyla; Bovidae
Description: lncRNA (ENSBIXG00000022443.1)
Source: RNAcentral
AUGUUCGUCCAGGCUUCUGUCCGCCUGUCCCAAUGCAGGAAAGCUGCAGAGCCCCCUCUUGACAAGGGUGGGCGCCCCGGUCAGCAUGGACCAGCUGCACGGAGCCAAAGGAUGCGCCGCUGGGGCCUGUUAACAGACAGAAUCAGCCCCAGGCCACCCUUCGUUCAGAAGCUGAGCUCUAAGUCACCCAUGCUCCUCUCUGUGGCAUAUUCAUUUGGGAUGUCUGUAUACAAGGCUGGGAAUGAGGUCUGUCUUUUUCUCUCUCUUAGGAAAAUUUCUAAACAAAAACCCGAACAUCAACAACAACAAACCAACAUGAUGUCCAGGGCAGUGCUGGCUCUGAGCAUCUUUCUACCAGACUACGUACCUGGCCUGAAGCAGGAGCUAAAAAACGUCUAGUGCAUGAAGGAAAAAUGAACACACGUGACCCUGUGACAGCCGCCCAUGUGACCCUGUGACAGCCGAGUUCUCACAGCAGGAGCCACUGUGGGGAAGCGUCAACAGUGAUCAAAACGACCAUGACCCGAUCUCUGCUUCGGCCGCAGUGGAGGAGCAGUGACCGGGACUAACUCUCCCAGCGGAAACGACUACGGAAGCUCGAUAACACGUGAAAUCUGCUCAUGGACAUCACGGAGCAAACCAGUGCAGGCAGACCCUGAGGAGCUGUGCCCCUGAAAGAAGGAAGCACAUGGGGGUGAGCUCCUAUUCAUUCUGCCUCCUCUGGAGAAACUGAAAAUUCACAAAGGGAGCGAAGCUGAGCAGAGAGCAGCCCGCCUGCCCACGCGGGACAUGCAGGUCUGAGCCCUGGGGUGGGAUGGCUCCCUGGAGGAGGACCACCCACUUCAGUAUCUCUUCAUGUAUAUAUACAACAUAUCUUCUAUAAAUAAUAGAUAUGGUGGUAUAUGUGCAUGAAAAGAUACAAAAAAAAAUCUACAGAAUUAUAAAGUGAAUUUAGUAAGGCUGCUGGAUGCAAAGACAAUACAAAAAUUAAUUUUAUUUCUACAUGCUAGCAAAAAGAAUUAGAUAAUAAAAUACAAACAUCAAACA